GCCGCCUUGCAGUUUGAUCUCAGACUGCUGUGCUAGCAAUCAGCGAGACUCCGUGGGGUAGGACCCUCUGAGCCAGGUGUGGGAUAUAAUCUCGUGGUGCGCCGUUUUUUAAGCCCGUCAGAAAAGCGCAGUAUUCGGGUGGGAGUGACCCGAGUUUCCAGGUGCUGUCCAUCACCCCUUUCUUUGAUUAAGAAAGGGAACUCCCUGACCCCUUGCGCUUCCCGAGUGAGGCAAUGCCUCGCCCUGCUUCGGCUCGCACACGGUGCGCGCACCCACUGACCUGCGCUCACUGACUGGCACUCCCUAGUGAGAUGAACCCGGUACCUCAGAUGGAAAUGCAGAAAUCACCCGUCUUCUGCGUCCUUCAGGCUGGGAGCUGUAGACCUGAGCCGUUCCUAUUCGGCCAUCUUGGCUCCUCAAAUCUAUAUUCAAAAGUCUCACUCAUUUUGCUGCUCAGCAGAAGGAUUGUAAAAAUGAAAAAUAAAAAAAAGGCUUUUACAUCAAAUAUUGAUAACGAUAAUAAUGAUUAACACAUGUGGAGCACUUACCAUCUCUCAAGCACUGCUCUAGAGCUUUCCAUGAAAGAAUCCCUCUAAUCUUCAGAACAAUCCUGUGAGGAGCUGCUGCCAAAUCAACACCUCGAUAUGUUUGUUCUUGGAGAGAAAUGAGCUAAGGAGGAAGACCGUCUAAAAAUACCACUGGACAAUUUGUACUCACUGGAGUGGUCUCUAUGGGGCAAAAGGUUUUUAGAGUGGCUCGUGGAUUUUCUGGCAAGUGGCAAACCAUACAAGAGCUACGUCAGGCCAGGAAGACAGGUACAGCCCUGUCGGUGUCAAAGAAGAACACCGGUAGCAGAAGAGCUAAGAGUGAAUGAAAAUGGAAUUAUCUUUACUUCUAGGACUUGUCUAUUGAGAAACAGCAGCGCUGGCAACCAUUUACUACCAACAAGAGGCAGUUGCAAGAGAAGAAUAUAAAAUAUGCUCUGCUCAACCCCACAAAACUCAGAGUGUCUCACAAUGGCCAAUUUAUUAUUUUUACCCUGUCCAGUGACAUGGAAGGAUGCAUCAGGGAGCUGCUAGCCUCUGCGAUGAAUAACUUAAGUCAGGCUGCAACAUGUGAAAUAAUUCAGCUGACCAGGAUUUAUAACACUAGCUAGAUUUUUUGCUUUCUUUGGGGUUCAUGAAGCAUGGUGUUGUGAGAUACCACAGGAGUCCCGGAGUAAAGUUACAUACCUAUUGCUCUUCCUUAUUUUUAUUUUUUGGUAUUUUCAUAUUAUUUUAUUGCCUAGUCCAAAUGUCUUCCUAAGCAGGGUCCAGCCUCCUAGGGGACACGUCUCUUCUGACUUUGAAAAUUAGAACCACAGACAGAUAAGACUUCUAAAUACUCUGUUUUUAUACCCUCUUCUUCACAUACCUAGUCCCAGGUGGUUUUGACUCCCUGAUGCUGUGUUGAUUGUGUUGGCCUUCAAUUUAUUUUGCUCAAUUAUUUAUGUGCAUCUGCCCAAAUAAGAGGUGUGGCAAUGCAGUGGCAUGCUUACAAUUCAGCCCAUCUCACUCCCUGGUUCAUAUGUCAGUUUGCAGGAUGGCUUGCUAGAUUUGCAAAGGGGUGUGGGGGACAGUUUCCAUCUGCUGCCAUUGCAAAACACAUCUUUCAGGGGCUACCUGGCAGGGCUGUUUUCUUUCCAGGUAAGGUUCAGGGACAUUUCCAUGCACUGAGUAGAGUCUGGAUCUUUGUUUUCCAGGUGCCUCAGAAGACUAGGACAUGGGGCAAUUGCAAAUCCUGGUCUUUGUACAUUACAUAGAACUUAGGGUAGGAAGGGACUUCAGAAGAUCAUCAGGUCAAAUUUCCCACUUCCUUGGAAUUCUCAUUUUUUAGAGGACCAAUGGUUGGCAACAUCCCUUUUUUGUGUUGUCAUUUGGAAAUUGUGUUAAAAGCCAUUCUUUCACAGUUGCUCUGUGGUCCUUCCAAUUUUCACUUUAACUGGGAAAUUUUAAUGAGAUCCUUCAAGCAAUUAAAAGAGUAGAAAAAAUACUCACAGAAGC
This is a long non-coding RNA of Homo sapiens (human), 2042 nucleotides long. RefSeq lists it as uncharacterized. Lineage: Eukaryota; Metazoa; Chordata; Mammalia; Primates; Hominidae. The transcript is spliced from 4 exons. The record is from RefSeq and is a predicted model, not a curated record.